This 560-nucleotide long non-coding RNA is filed under the name Haliotis rufescens (red abalone). RNAcentral's name for it is "uncharacterized LOC124148635, transcript variant X2". The record is from RNAcentral. Lineage: Eukaryota; Metazoa; Mollusca; Gastropoda; Lepetellida; Haliotidae.
UGAUCUGAGUUGAUCUACAGGAUGAAGUCGGUGUGUGUUUUGGGGUGUCUUCUUCUUGUUUUGGGAGCUGUUUCCUCCCAACUGAAUGUUGCACCGGUGUUUAAAGAACGCUACUGCUUGUGCGUUAUCCGCUGCUGCCACUUCUCUGAAUCUUCGCUCUUCAAACGAAGUUUGACCCAAGCUUUCUCAGACAUGGCCCACGUUCGACACAAACGAUGCUGCGGCUGCACCAAUUGCUAUCACAAUUCUUAAUUUGAUUUGUGGAUGUGUUUGGUUGUAUUGUUGUUUGGUGUAGCGAACGUACAUACAGUUGUGUUCGAAUGUGAUGAAGGCAUGUGUACAACAUUAUAAGCUUAUCAAGCGUUAAACCGCAUCAUCAUAAGAUGUGAAAAAGUAAUAUGCCUUGCUAAUGGCAAGGUUCGCUAUAAACGAAAUAAUGUCGAGAUUCUUGUUGCAGGAAAUAAUUGCGAAAUUCGACUGAAAGGAUUAAAUGUAGAAAUUUGUUUUAAGCCAAAUAAAUUCCAGAUUCGUUUUAGACGAAAUUACGAGAUCCAAUAAAA